AACUUUGAUAGAAGCAGAAACUUUGAGAGGAGAAGAGAGAACAUGGCAGGAGGCCCUCCUCCUCAACGUCCCCCAAUGGGAGGACCUCCUCCUCCUCCAAUGGGAGGACCCCCACCUCCUCCACACAUGGGUGGCUCUGCACCUCCUCCUCCACACAUGGGUGGCUCUGCACCUCCUCCUCCACACAUGGGGCAGAACUAUGGACCUCCGAACAACAUGGGAGGGCAAAGGCCUCCACCAAACUAUGGAGGGUCACCACCUCAAAACAACAUGGGUGGACAGAGGCCACCACCAAACUAUGGAGGAGCACCAC
RNAcentral lists this long non-coding RNA (313 nucleotides) under Capsella grandiflora. Its description in RNAcentral is "long non-coding RNA (CGRA_LNC001553)". The record is from RNAcentral. Lineage: Eukaryota; Viridiplantae; Streptophyta; Magnoliopsida; Brassicales; Brassicaceae.